GAACUUAAGCAUAUCAAUAAGCGGAGGAAAAGAAACCAACAGGGAUUGCCUCAGUAACGGCGAGUGAAGCGGCAACAGCUCAAAUUUGAAAUCUGGCUCUUUCAGGGUCCGAGUUGUAAUUUGUAGAAGAUGCUUUGGGUGUAGCUCCGGUCUAAGUUCCUUGGAACAGGACGUCAUAGAGGGUGAGAAUCCCGUAUGUGACUGGGUGCUUUCGCUCGUGUAAAGCUCUUUCGACGAGUCGAGUUGUUUGGGAAUGCAGCUCAAAAUGGGUGGUAAAUUUCAUCUAAAGCUAAAUAUUGGCCAGAGACCGAUAGCGCACAAGUAGAGUGAUCGAAAGAUGAAAAGCACUUUGGAAAGAGAGUUAAACAGUACGUGAAAUUGUUGAAAGGGAAGCGCUUGCAACCAGACUUGCGCGCUGUUGAUCAUCCGAGCUUUUGCCCGGUGCGCUCGGCAGCGUUCAGGCCAGCAUCGGUUUUGGUGGGCGGAUAAAGGCCUUGGGAAUGUAGCUUCUUUCGGGGAGUGUUAUAGCCCUCGGUGCAAUGCGCCCUACCGGGACCGAGGACCGCGCUUCGGCUAGGAUGCUGGCGUAAUGGUUGUAAGCGACCCGUCUUGAAACACGGACCAAGGAGUCUAACAUCUAUGCGAGUGUUUGGGUGUCAAACCCAUACGCGUAAUGAAAGUGAACGGAGGUGAGAACCCUUAAGGGUGCAUCAUCGACCGAUCCUGAUGUCUUCGGAUGGAUUUGAGUAAGAGCAUAGCUGUUGGGACCCGAAA
RNAcentral lists this ribosomal RNA (774 nucleotides) under uncultured fungus. Its description in RNAcentral is "eukaryotic LSU rRNA". It matches the Rfam family "Eukaryotic large subunit ribosomal RNA", at positions 30 to 821 of the family's 3401-position model. The record is from RNAcentral. Lineage: Eukaryota; Fungi.